GGCCUGGACAUUCUAGUGGGAAAGUUUAUACGCGAUUAUAUAAACAGACACAAGAAGAUUCUCGUUCUGCGUAUGAGUGAUAUGUUAUAAACGUGUCUGACAAAGCAAGAGACAAAACAUUCCAUGUUCGUUUCUUGCGACUUCAUUUUCGAAUGGUUUUCGGUCGAUUUGUUGAGCUUUUACAUUUAACGCUACUUCCGCCAUUCUUACCACUGAAGUAAGAAGAUCUAUAAAGAAGAAUAGAGUUCAGUUGCAGACACGGCCGUGUUGCAGAUUGCAGACACAAGGCACGCCACGCGACGAAGCCUAACAGACUAACCAAUCGAUUAAAGCACCUUAUUUUCAGAAACAUUUUCUGACUCGUAAAUGAUUUAUCCCCUCCACUCUAAUUUCCAGACCUGUGUAUACAACCAUGAUCUAUUAUAGGGCUCGUAAACCUUGGGAAGAAAAAAGCAUUGGGUGCCAGGUCUAUUCUGUAUUAUGUCUGUGUUACCACUCAAUGCAUUUCUUCGUCCCAACCUUACCGGCAAGGUACAGAAUCAAGGAUGAAUAGAGAGAUUAACGCUUAUGGACGAAACACAGCCAAAAAAUGGACACUGAGGAUAAGAGCCUCUGAUGAUCAACGAUUGUACUAUCCGCCAAUGUGCUCCUGAUGGUAGAAACGAUUGAAUCAUACAUGGAAAUACAUAGAGGAAACAUACAUACACUACCAGACAUGAGUUUGAGGGCAUCAUUCGGAAGGCAAUCAAUAUCAGCUGCCAUUUAGAGAAUAUUAUCUGAUUUUAAAUAAUAAAAACAUAAAUACACUCAAAAAAUGUCUUACCUGACGUUUAUACAACGCAUGAGAAGCAUGAAUCAAUACGAACAAGGAAGUAGGAGGUAUCCGAGUCCUGAAUAAAAGUUUCACUGAUAAAGUAAUAGAGAAAAUAUUUUCAAAAUAUAAAACGGACAAUCCUCGUUUACUCUGUGAUAAACUUUGUGGCCGAGCCAGGUAGGAGGGAACCUAAUGAUUUUACAGGAAAGUUUAGAAUGAAAUAUGUAGGUGUUGAAAAGACCUACAAAGUGAGAUCUAUAAAGUUAAAAUCUGUCCAUACGUUAACUUUCAAAAGAAUAUGGAAUAUUCCUUCAAUUUUUAUGGUAGCGGAUCGGUAUAAAUUCUUUCUUCUUAUUUAUUUAAUAGAAAAGUCACACUUUUUUGGAGCCACGAAUUUUUACCUUUCUUAGUAUCUACAUUUUUCAUUCUACUUUUUUUCUGUAAAAUCGUUAUGAAUUCUCCGAUCAUUGCCGAUCGCUUCCUUCUGCACACGAAAAUCCUUCUUUUCACACCCUUAUGUAUUUUUCUAAUAAUCGUAAUAAUAACGACGUUAGAAAAGAGUGUAGCAGGAUAAGAAACUCAAAAGCGCCCUUGAACCGAUUUUAUCAGACAAUGGAUUACUCGGUAGCUUACCGAAAGAAAACAUCGUAAAUCAAUUCUCAACAUUUUACCUCGACCGCGAGAUAGUUGUUACAGUUGUACAAUACAUUACGAUUUUUAUGAUUGGAGAUGUAAAUUUGUUGAUUGCAAUAAAAAUCAAAU
Long non-coding RNA from Bombus pyrosoma, 1576 nucleotides. RefSeq lists it as uncharacterized. The transcript has 3 exons. Lineage: Eukaryota; Metazoa; Arthropoda; Insecta; Hymenoptera; Apidae. The record is from RefSeq and is a predicted model, not a curated record.